GACGAACCGUGCAACCGUUAUUCGGAAUCACUGGGCAUAAAGGGCGCGUAGGCGGCCCGGUAAGUAGGGGGUGAAAUCCUGCGGCUUAACCGCAGGGCUGCCUUCUAAACUGUCGGGCUCGAGCACGGUAGAGGCAGAUGGAAUUCCCGGUGUAGCGGUGGAAUGCGUAGAGAUCGGGAAGAACAUCAGUGGCGAAGGCGGUCUGCUGGGCCGUUGCUGACGCUGAGGCGCGACAGCGUGGGGAGCAAACAGG
Molecule: ribosomal RNA, 253 nt
Filed under: uncultured bacterium
Lineage: Bacteria
Description: partial 16S ribosomal RNA
Rfam family: Bacterial small subunit ribosomal RNA
Source: RNAcentral